ACCUGACUCGGUGCCGGCCUUGCUACUCUCCCUGCUGGGUUUGGGAGGCCGCCCCCUCGGCAUGGCUGCCCCCUCCCUCCCCCCCCCCCCCCCCCCAGCGCGCACACACACACACACUUGGCAACGGCGGAGGAAGCGGCGGGGAAGCGUGCCCUCUGGGAAAGGAUCGGUAAAGAUGGAGAUGUGUUUAUUGAUAGCUUGUUCCAGCGCUUCAUGGCUUUCAUCGCCUCCCGAGACGCUGCUGUAUGUCAUCUUGGAAUUCAUAGGCUUCAGCCUCUGAGAUGAGAUUUUUAUUACACCUCUUUCUUGCUAAAUAAAACCUCUAAUACAAAACA
Long non-coding RNA from Falco peregrinus (peregrine falcon), 335 nucleotides. RefSeq lists it as uncharacterized. NCBI's taxonomy places the organism in Eukaryota, Metazoa, Chordata, Aves, Falconiformes, Falconidae. The record is from RefSeq and is a predicted model, not a curated record. The transcript has 2 exons.